AAAAAAAAAAAAGGAGAAAACGAAUAAAUGUACACAAGUCUCUCUUCCAAAAAUAGCAUAAAGCGAACUAUUCUUUCGCUUUAGUAAAGUGCUCUUCAUGCCAAGUGGCAUACUCUUAUUUUUGGAAGGUUCUGCCUUAAAGUGGGACCCAAAAAAUAUAGCAUAAAAUAAAAAUUUACGUGUUACACUUAAUUUGGGCUU
This 201-nucleotide long non-coding RNA is filed under the name Brassica napus (rape). RNAcentral describes it as "long non-coding RNA (BNAP_LNC011355)". The record is from RNAcentral. Lineage: Eukaryota; Viridiplantae; Streptophyta; Magnoliopsida; Brassicales; Brassicaceae.